AACGAACGCUGGUGGCGUGCCUAAUACAUGCAAGUCGAACGCGAAAGUCAGCAAUGAUGAGUAAAGUGGCGCACGGGUGAGUAACACGUAGGUGACCUGGCCAUUUGUUGGGGAUAACAGUCGGAAACGACUGCUAAUACCGGAUAAGCUGUGAGUGAUUGGAAAACUUACAGGAAAGUUGGCGACUUAACUGGCCAACGCAUAUGGAUGGGCCUGCGUAACAUUAGCUAGUUGGUAGGGUAACGGCUUACCAAGGCAACGAUGUUUAACUGGUCUGAGAGGAUGAUCAGUCACACUGGAACUGAGACACGGUCCAGACUCCUACGGGAGGCAGCAGUAGGGAAUAUUGCGCAAUGGGGGAAACCCUGACGCAGCAACGCCACGUGAGUGAGGAAGGCCUUCGGGUUGUAAAGCUCUGUCAUUAGGGAAAAAUGGCGGUGCGGCUAAUAGUCGCAUCGAUUGAUGGUACCUAAGGAGGAAGCACCGGCUAACUUCGUGCCAGCCGCCGCAGUAA
Molecule: ribosomal RNA, 514 nt
Filed under: uncultured bacterium
Lineage: Bacteria
Description: partial 16S ribosomal RNA
Rfam family: Bacterial small subunit ribosomal RNA
Source: RNAcentral